Molecule: ribosomal RNA, 1036 nt
Filed under: Acanthiophilus helianthi
Lineage: Eukaryota; Metazoa; Arthropoda; Insecta; Diptera; Tephritidae
Description: partial 16S ribosomal RNA
Source: RNAcentral
UUGAAAAAUUUUUAUUUUAAAAGAAAAAUUAAUUAUUUGUACCUUGUGUAUCAGGGUUUAUUAAAUAAUUAAUAAUUAUUUAUUGAUUUCGAUUUUAUAAGAGUUAAUAAUUUAUUAAAGUUAAUGUAAUAAAAUUAUUUUAAAUAAAUUAUUAGAAAUGAAAUGUUAUUCGUUUAUAAAGAUAUCUAGUUUUUUUAGAAAUAAAUUUAAUUUAAAAAUUUUUAAUUUUGUUAAUUAUUUUAUUAAUUAAUAAAUUUUUAAAUUUUAAUAUUUUAAGGGAUAAGCUUUAAAAUAAAUUAUUAUAAAUUAUUAAAUAAUAAUUAAAAAUAUAUGCAUAGAAUUAGUAAUUAUUAUUAAAUUUGUUAUAAAUUAUUUAUAUUUAUUUAUAAAAAUAUAUUAUUUAUUUAAAUUUUAAUUAUUUAUAAAAAUAUUUUUUUUAAUUUAAUUUAAAAAGAAAUAAUGAUAAAAUUAGUAUAUAUUUUAUGUUUAAAUAUUUUUAUUUGAUAAGUUUAUAUAAAGAACUCGGCAAAUAUUUUACUCGCCUGUUUAACAAAAACAUGUCUUUUUGAGUUAUUUUUAAAGUCUAACCUGCCCAAUGAAUUUAAAUUAAAUGGCCGCAGUAUUUUGACUGUGCAAAGGUAGCAUAAUCACUAGUCUUUUAAUUGAAGGCUUGAAUGAAUGGUUGGACGAAGUAUAAUCUGUUUCAUUUAAAUUUAUUAUAGAAUUUUAUAUUUUAGUAAAAAAGCUAAAAUAUUUUUAAAAGACGAGAAGACCCUAUAAAUCUUUAUAAUUUAUUUUUUUUUUAUUUUUUUGAUUAGUUUUGUUUAAAUAAUUUAAAUUAUUUUGUUGGGGUGAUAUUAAAAUUUAAAAAACUUUUAAUUAAUUUUUUUUUCAUUAAUUUAUGUUUUAUUGAUCCAUUAAUAAUGAUUAUAAGAAUAAGUUACUUUAGGGAUAACAGCGUAAUUUUUUUGGAGAGUUCUUAUUGAUAAAAAAGUUUGCGACCUCGAUGUUGGAUUAAGAUAUAAUUUUAGGUGUA